AUUGUGAAAUGGAUUAAUGGAUUAAUUUUUCAUUUCAUUUCACUUUUUCUUUUCUAUUUGAAUUCUGUUGGAAAAUAGAAAAGUCGUAUGAUUUUAUUCCAAUAAAAUUUUGACAAGAUGUACACCUUCUUGCCAAGUCAGUGGGACCAUCAUUGUACUAAAUUACUCAAAGUAUUGACGUGGGAAGUGAGCACCUGAAACCUUUGGCCAUGGGAAAUAGACAGUUUAUUUCAUUCAGUCUUCAGCUGAGUUCAUUCUCUUGAUAAAUAUGUACCGAGUGAGUACCUCCUUUGAGUCACACCUAUUUUGCUGUUAUUUUAAAUUCGACACAAGCUGCACUGCCAAACCUCACUCUUGGGGUUCUCAUUUAGCUAGUGGCAGUAACUGAGUUGGAAACCAAAGCUGAUCUGUGAUACCUUUGGUCUGUCUUGUUGAAGUAAAAACCACAGCUCUCAUCUUAAAAGGACAUCAUUUAUUCUGGAUCCAUUUUGAUUGAUCAUGACCCUGGGAUACAUAUUUGGAUUACCCCAAAUGCCAUGUUCCCAUGUGAAAGCAGUUUCAUGAAGUUCUGAUAGUUUGACUGAUCAGAGAAAGUCAUCAGUCAAGGCAAUUUUAAAAUAUGUUGGCGGUUACACUAGCGAGGUGGGUUCAAGAUGGGGGACGAUUCUCCAUAGGCCCAAGAUGCUAUCUGAUGACAUUCUUAGCUUUUUGAUUUCAUGGAAGCUUGCCAUCUGAUAAGUUAAUAGAUUCUAAAAAGGGUUUUAUCUUUAGUUACAAGAUGUUACUUCUCAAACAGAGGUGGGCAAGGAAUGGCUGUUCUAUAGUGUUGGAACUAGCAAAAAAUAAGGUAAUUAGCCUCAGAGGAUACAACAUUCAAUUUCUCCACUGUACUGAAAUUCUAACCAGUCUUUCCACCUCUGCAGACACACCUUCUUUUCAGGAUUUUUUUGUUCAAAAUAUGCAUUUCAGCCUAUGGUUCUCACCUAACAUAUUGUUUGGUGUCUUUUCUUUGAAAGUAAGUUAAAGAAAAGCCCAGAGAGAAAAAAAUAUUCAUAUUAAAACACACAAGUGGCGUAUAACUGAAGCAUGUGUGAACAGGAAUGAUACUUAGCGACCGACCAUCUUAUCUAGCUCUAAUUUGAAUAAUGAUUGAUAAAAACACCCUUGGAGGGUCUGCUAAAGUCCAUUUUUUGACUUAUUCAUCUAACUGAUAUUCACGGAACACCUACUCCAUGCGACACAGCGAUGCAUAAUUGUUACAAACAUUAAAUAAGAUGGAUAUGCCUAUACGUGUCCAUGACACUCAAAUGCUUUUUCUUAGAGUGAUUGCAGGAGAUACAGUUAUACUGAAAUCUCCUGAUCUGUCUUCAAUUUGGGCGUUCUUCAAUGAAGCUGCACUGAUAUCUAAGGGCUGUGAUGCCGGAUCAGUGGGAAAUGCCUUUAUAAUUCAGACUGAUGGCAAGAAGCCACCUUGCCUAGGACAGAAGAGUACAGAACAGCAAUGAUAGGGCAAAGUGACCCAUGUCAUCAGGGUUAGGUGCUUCUCCUACAGCAUCUCUGCUGAAGUUGUCGUCUAUGUACUUAGUUGUGGCUGUUUGAGGGAUGCAUUGCUGGUGGGAUGUCCUAGGCUGCUACUCCCUGGAGUCAAAAACUAUAUUUUAGUGAUGUUCUCAAAACACAUUUGAUGACAGAAUGAAGGGUAAAGAAAAUAUUUAGCAAUGUUUUUUGAGGAGAGAAUGUUUCCCUUACCGUGCUAGUUUCCAUGAAGUACAUACAACAAGUAAGACUGUUUGCCAAAAGAGGAAAGUCCAUGCACAGGAGAAAAAAAAAAAAGACCUACUGAAUGAAGGUCUGGGUGAGAAGAAAUAGGAAUUAACAAACAGAAGUGGACUAUGCAAGGCCAGAGAAAAGAUCUGUUGAUAACAUUGCCCCUUGGUGGUAGUUGUUGGUGGGUUUCAUAGUUUCCUAAUAAUUAAGGAGUUAAAAUUUUGUAACUAGAAUAAAUUCAGAUCUCCUAUAGUUUUUUUUGUUUGUUUUGUUUUGUUUUUGUUUUGCUUUGUUUUUAACAUCAGACACAUGAAAUAAGACAGUAAGCUUCAUAGAGUUGCUAUUAUAGUAGUCUUGGUUCAUUUUAUUAUUAAAUUUUAAAAUUUUUACUACAUAUUCAACAUUGACAUAAAGUAAGGUUUAUCACUAAUUUUUUGGUACCCAUUUUCCCAUCAUUGGGUGUAUUUUUAAAAGGCAAUCUCUCUAAGUGUUGUAGUUGGGCCCAAGUGCUGCCUGCUUGCAAACUCACAGCAGGAGUUCAGAACAAAAAAAAAGGUAGGUAAGUCACCUUGCUUUUCAGAGUUACCUUUGGACAAAGUCAGUAUUUUGUCUGAAAAUGCCAGAUGUUCGUAUUUCUCAUUUAAUCUUCACAUCAUUUCUCUCUAUGACAGCCAGAUUUAUCUUCCAAAACUCAUUUGCAUUUUAAAAAUCAAAGUUUUAUUUCCAAUUAUAAAGGUAAGAUAUGUCUAUUAUGGAAAAUGAGAAAUUACAGAAAAAUCACAGUUAAGAGUAAAACCACUAUUUCUCUCUUGCUAUAGGUUUGAGUUCUUUUUUGUUUUUUUGUUUUUGUUUUUUUGUUUUGUUUUGUUUUUGUUUAAGAAUACAACAAACUUGAACAUGAACAGCUUAGUUGUUGAGAACACUGCCUGCUAUUCCAGAAGACCAGGUUAAAUUCCCAGCACACACACAGCUUCUUACAGCUCUCUGUGGCUCUGUAGUUCCAAGGGAUCUUAUACCUACACACAGAUAUAAAUUCAGGCACAAGACAAAUACACAUAAAAUUAAAUAAAUCUUUAAAAUAUAUAACAGACUAUCUAAUGUACAGUAGUAAUAUACUGUAAUGUACUCUGUCUGAAGAAGCUAUUGAAUGAACAAUGUGCAUAACAGAAUAAGACAAGAAAGAUGAAGACUUGAGAAACAGGUGAGUUCCUCACUGGAUAAAGCCAAAGACAAUGCCCAGUGUGGUGUGAAGAUAUAUCUCAAAUACACUAGCAAGCAAAUAAAGCCAAAACCAUAUAAU
RNAcentral lists this long non-coding RNA (3067 nucleotides) under Mus musculus (house mouse). RNAcentral describes it as "long non-coding RNA chr8:102827462-102830529". The record is from RNAcentral. Lineage: Eukaryota; Metazoa; Chordata; Mammalia; Rodentia; Muridae.